Arabidopsis lyrata subsp. lyrata is the source of this 866-nucleotide long non-coding RNA. RefSeq lists it as uncharacterized. The transcript is spliced from 4 exons. Lineage: Eukaryota; Viridiplantae; Streptophyta; Magnoliopsida; Brassicales; Brassicaceae. The record is from RefSeq and is a predicted model, not a curated record.
AUGCACUUCUCUCCAAAAUUUCCAUCGCGUGACUUUUUUUGUUUUUUUGUUUUCUUCUUCUCUAAACCAAUAUAAACCGAACCGAAAAUCAAUUGUAAUUUUAAAACCAUUGUAAACCGAAAUAUUUCUUCUCCCUCCGACGAAGACUAAAAAACCAUGUAAACAGAGACGUCGAAACCUGCCGGAGAACAGAGGAGAGAACCCGGCGAAAAUGGGAAAUUCGAAUUCGUCUUCUGUUGAUCAUCGCUCCACUUCUGCUUCCAGAGCUUUUACUCAGAAGAAGCUCGAUGAUCUCAAAUCUCUCUUCUCUUACCUCGAUUCCAAGUCUCAGAGUGUUCUGUCCUAUCUGGUUUCUGUGGUCUGAUCAUUUGAAUUAAGCCUCACACGAUGUGUGUUGGAUUCGAUUGUCAAAGGAGUAUUUUGGUCUGAGUGGUUCUUUAGGAGAAAGGAUCUUUGAUAUGGUCACUCAACACAGGAAAGAUGAUAGAAUAUGACUUCUUGAAGAUCUUGUUAUUGCUAAGGUCUGAUUUUGAAGAGUGUGUUCUCCACUGAGAGUUCUGAUGCUGAAUCAAGUGAUUACAAAGAGAUGGUUGAUGUGCUACUCAAUGCCACUACUUCCUCAAAAUCUGAUGAUGGUUCUGAUUCUGAAAAAGGAAUGUCACUCGUUCCAACUAUCAGAAAGUUCUUCAUUAAUGCCCCCGGGUCCAGUGAGACCUGAAUAUCAAGUCCCACAUCUGCUUUAUGAAGAUAGUGUGGGCUCAGAUAGGCUACUAUUAAAAGAAGGAAUACGCUUGGCAUAUUGGAGGGGCUCUUCCUCACCACGAGCUUGUAGAGUGGAAGCUGCUGUAUCACUGUUCCUUACCAAA